CAGUCGCCGCGGUAACACGUAGGUCCCGAGCGUUGUCCGGAAUUAUUGGGCGUAAAGCGCGCGCAGGCGGAUAGGUCAGUCUGUCUUAAAAGUUCGGGGCUUAACCCCGUGAUGGGAUGGAAACUGCCAAUCUAGAGUAUCGGAGAGGAAAGUGGAAUUCCUAGUGUAGCGGUGAAAUGCGUAGAUAUUAGGAAGAACACCAGUGGCGAAGGCGACUUUCUGGACGAAAACUGUCGCUGUGGCGCGAAAGCCAGGGGAGCGAACGGGAUUAGAUACCCGAGUAGUCCCUGUCUCUUAUACA
RNAcentral lists this ribosomal RNA (301 nucleotides) under uncultured bacterium. RNAcentral's name for it is "partial 16S ribosomal RNA". It matches the Rfam family "Bacterial small subunit ribosomal RNA", at positions 509 to 809 of the family's 1533-position model. The record is from RNAcentral.